GGAAAGGUGGCCGAGUGGUCUAAGGCAGAAGUCUUGAAAACUUCCGGACGUGUGAGCGUCCCGUGGGUUCGAAUCCCACCCUUUCCGCCA
RNAcentral lists this transfer RNA (90 nucleotides) under Rhizobium leguminosarum. RNAcentral's name for it is "tRNA-Ser". It matches the Rfam family "tRNA". From Rfam's summary of the family: Transfer RNA (tRNA) molecules are approximately 80 nucleotides in length. Their secondary structure includes four short double-helical elements and three loops (D, anti-codon, and T loops). The record is from RNAcentral. Lineage: Bacteria; Pseudomonadati; Pseudomonadota; Alphaproteobacteria; Hyphomicrobiales; Rhizobiaceae.